UAUGUAAGUAUUUAAAACCAUUAUUAUUUAUUACCAAUCAAUAUUUAUAUUGUUGGGUAAACAAAUUUCGGAACAUCUUUCGUCUUGUUAAUGUAGCUGGCAAGCAAAGCGGCGUUAUGAAUAAAUUUAAGUUGCUAUAGAAACAAUGUUCUGUUGAUUGUCACUUGUGUCAUAGAAAAUAAAAAGAGCUAUCCAUUGUGUAUUCCUACUGUUGUAAUAAAUUAAUUUCGUGGACAAAUCUAUCUCCUAUUUUUCUACUGUAAAAUCACACUCAGCCACACGCUCACACACGUCUGACAUUGAAAAGACAGGGAUUUUUCUUGUUUUGACGUAUUUUCUAACCUCUUAGAAUGUUAUUAGAAGUCGUAAUAAAAUAAUUUGAAUAUAAAGCUAUGUUUUAAAGUAAAUAAAGACCAUUUAACGAUGUUAACAUGAUGAGACAUCGAUUUUAUGGAAUGGAGGAGAAGAUUUAACAGCUAGAAAUUAACAAAAAUCCUGCAAGAGAAUCGAGAUCUCGCUUUUGGCGAGUGGAAGUCCAAAGGCAAAGUGCAGCGGUUUGCAGUUCUUAGCCUCACUUUUUUGGACCUAACAAGACAGGAAAAGAAUAGUCAAAGAGGAAACCCGAGUAGCCAGAUGAUAAUAUAUGAAACCAUGAGCAGCCAGCCAUUGAAACUCG
Molecule: long non-coding RNA, 676 nt
Organism: Ostrinia nubilalis (European corn borer)
Lineage: Eukaryota; Metazoa; Arthropoda; Insecta; Lepidoptera; Crambidae
Exons: 3
Source: RefSeq, a predicted model, not a curated record